Molecule: ribosomal RNA, 1379 nt
Filed under: uncultured bacterium
Lineage: Bacteria
Description: bacterial SSU rRNA
Rfam family: Bacterial small subunit ribosomal RNA
Source: RNAcentral
UCCUGGCUCAUAGUGAACGCCUGGCGGCGUGCCUAAUACAUGCAAGUUCGAACGGACAAGUAAGAAGCUUUGCUCUUAUGAGUUAGUGGCGCACGGGUGAGUAAUUGUAUAGCUAAUCUGCCCUACACUAGAGGACAACAGUUUGGAAACGGCUGCUAAUACUCUAUACUCCUGUCUUACAUAAGUUUAGAUAGGGAAAGUUUUUUCGGUGUAGGAUGAGGCUAUAUUUGUAUCAGCUAGUUGGUGAGGUAAUGGCUCACCAAGGCUAUGACGCAUAACUGGUCUGAGAGGAUGAUCAGUCACACUGGAACUGAGACACGGUCCAGACUCCUACGGGAGGCAGCAGUAGGGAAUAUUGCUCAAUGGGGGAAACCCUGAAGCAGCAACGCCGCGUGGAGGAUGACACUUUUCGGAGCGUAAACUCCUUUUUGUUAGGGAAGAACAAUGACGGUACCUAACGAAUAAGCACCGGCUAACUCCGUGCCAGCAGCCGCGGUAAUACGGAGGGUGCAAGCGUUACUCGGAAUCACUGGGCGUAAAGGACGCGUAGGCGGAUUAUCAAGUCUCUUGUGAAAUCCUAUGGCUUAACCAUAGAACUGCUUGGGAAACUGGUAAUCUAGAGUGAGGGAGAGGCAGAUGGAAUUGGUGGUGUAGGGGUAAAAUCCGUAGAGAUCACCAGGAAUACCCAUUGCGAAGGCGAUCUGCUGGAACUCAACUGACGCUAAUGCGUGAAAGCGUGGGGAGCAAACAGGAUUAGAUACCCUGGUAGUCCACGCCCUAAACGAUGUAUACUAGUUGUUGCUAAGCUAGUCUUGGCAGUAAUGCACCUAACGGAUUAAGUAUACCGCCUGGGGAGUACGGUCGCAAGAUUAAAACUCAAAGGAAUAGACGGGGACCCGCACAAGCGGUGGAGCAUGUGGUUUAAUUCGAAGAUACGCGAAGAACCUUACCCGGACUUGAUAUCUAACAAAUCAUCUAGAGAUAGAAGAGUGUCUGCUUGCAGAAAUGUUAAGACAGGUGCUGCACGGCUGUCGUCAGCUCGUGUCGUGAGAUGUUGGGUUAAGUCCCGCAACGAGCGCAACCCACGUCAUUAGUUGCUAACAGUUCGGCUGAGCACUCUAAUGAGACUGCCUUCGUAAGGAGGAGGAAGGUGUGGACGACGUCAAGUCAUCAUGGCCCUUAUGUCCGGGGCGACACACGUGCUACAAUGGCAUAUACAAUGAGAAGCAAUAUCGCGAGAUGGAGCAAAUCUAUAAAAUAUGUCCCAGUUCGGAUUGGAGUCUGCAAACUCGACUCCAUGAAGCCGGAAUCGCUAGUAAUCGUAGAUCAGCCAUGCUACGGUGAAAUACGUUCCCGGGUCUUGUACACACCGCCCGUCA